AUACGUAGGGGGCGAGCGUUGUCCGGAAUGAUUGGGCGUAAAGGGCGCGUAGGCGGCCCGGUAAGUCUGAAGUGAAAGUCCUGGUUUUAAGCUGGGAAUUGCUUUGGAUACUGUCGGGCUUGAGUGCAGGAGAGGUAAGUGGAAUUCCCAGUGUAGCGGUGAAAUGCGUAGAGAUUGGGAGGAACACCAGUGGCGAAGGCGACUUACUGGACUGUAACUGACGCUGAGGCGCGAAAGUGUGGGGAGCAAACAGGAUUAGAUACCCUUGUAGUCCACACUGUAAACGAUGAAUGCUAGGUGUAGGGGGUAUCGACCCCUUCUGUGCCGCAGUCAACACAAUAAGCAUUCCGCCUGGGGAGUACGGCCGCAAGGUUGAAACUCAAAUGAAUUGACGGGG
Molecule: ribosomal RNA, 397 nt
Filed under: uncultured bacterium
Lineage: Bacteria
Description: partial 16S ribosomal RNA
Rfam family: Bacterial small subunit ribosomal RNA
Source: RNAcentral